Molecule: ribosomal RNA, 460 nt
Filed under: uncultured bacterium
Lineage: Bacteria
Description: partial 16S ribosomal RNA
Rfam family: Bacterial small subunit ribosomal RNA
Source: RNAcentral
CCUACGGGAGGCAGCAGUGAGGAAUAUUGGUCAAUGGGCUUACGCCUGAACCAGCCAAGUCGCGUGAGGGAAGACUGCCCUAUGGGUUGUAAACCUCUUUUGUCAGGGAGCAAUUGGCGCUACGUGUAGCGUUAUCGAGAGUACCUGAAGAAAAAGCAUCGGCUAACUCCGUGCCAGCAGCCGCGGUAAUACGGAGGAUGCGAGCGUUAUCCGGAUUUAUUGGGUUUAAGGGAGGCGUAGGCGGAAUGCAAAGUCAGCGGGAAAAUUGCGGGGCUCAACCUCGCUCCGCCGUUGAAACUGGCGUUCUUGAGUGGGCGAGAAGUAUGCGGAAUGCGUGGUGUAGCGGUGAAAUGCAUAGAUAUCACGCAGAACUCCGAUUGCGAAGGCAGCAUACCGGCGCCCAACUGACGCUGAAGCACGAAAGCGUGGGUAUCGAACAGGAUUAGAUACCCCAGUAGUC